RNAcentral lists this ribosomal RNA (435 nucleotides) under uncultured Coprococcus sp. RNAcentral's name for it is "partial 16S ribosomal RNA". It matches the Rfam family "Bacterial small subunit ribosomal RNA", at positions 341 to 792 of the family's 1533-position model. The record is from RNAcentral. Lineage: Bacteria; Bacillati; Bacillota; Clostridia; Lachnospirales; Lachnospiraceae.
ACGGGAGGCAGCAGUGGGGAAUAUUGCACAAUGGGGGAAACCCUGAUGCAGCGACGCCGCGUGAGUGAAGAAGUAUCUCGGUAUGUAAAGCUCUAUCAGCAGGGAAGAUAAUGACGGUACCUGACUAAGAAGCCCCGGCUAACUACGUGCCGGCAGCCGCGGUAAUACGUAGGGGGCAAGCGUUAUCCGGAUUUACUGGGUGUAAAGGGUGCGUAGGUGGUAUGGCAAGUCAGAAGUGAAAACCCGGGGCUCAACCCCGUGGAUUGCUUUUGAAACUGUCAAACUAGAGUACAGGAGAGGCAAGUGGAAUUCCUAGUGUAGCGGUGAAAUGCGUAGAUAUUAGGAGGAACACCAGUGGCGAAGGCGGCUUGCUGGACUGCUACUGACACUGAGGCACGAAAGCGUGGGGAGCAAACAGGAUUAGAUACCCUGGUA